UGUAAGUCAAUUUAGAAUUAUUAACACAGUAAAAGUCUAAAGUGGCAACACUCUAUAAACAAGAAAGUAUGACUAAGACAAAUUUAUUGGAUUUAGUCAAGACGAAAGUUUAGGUAUUUUAAAAAAUACUCAAAACUUACUCUUUUAAGAGAGAAAAAUAGGGCCAAUAAAUCAACUCUGUGACAUUUCAAAAUUUAAACCAUUUUAAGUUUUACCUAAAUCUCAAAUUUCAACUUGGAAGAAAACCGGUAGUUCUAACAAAACCAGCGGAAACUUUUAAAGGUUGGCUACAUGCACGGUCAAAAUACCAUAUUACAUCAAUGAGAAAAAAACUUGACUUGACUUCAUCUAAAAGAAGACAAAACUCUAAAUGAAGAAGUUUAGAAAGUGAUCAGCGUUGAUGAUGAAAUAGAAAACUUGUUUUGUUGCUUACUGAGGACUAUAUGUAUUAGAACUUUUAUUUUAUAAAAAUUUUAUUAUAUUGCUAUUCUUGCAAAUGGAUGGAAUAGGCCAUCUCUGAUUCAAAAUUGAAUUCGCAAGUUUCCGAAACUUCUACAGCCCUAAACACAAUUGGUGUACCCCAUAAAGACCAAUUAAUUAGCCAGUUUAAAUUGUGAAAGCUGAAUAAUGAUUUAAUUGCUGAUUGCUUUCAUAAAAUAACCUGUAACAGUGUCUAGAGAGCGGAACAUGAUUGUUUAAUAGAGAAGUAUAUUGAUUAUGCUUUAUGGAUUGCUUGACGUUAUCACAUUUUUGAGUUGCAAAUUAAAAAGUUUGAGAAGCAUUUAUUGGUAAUCACAAUGUUUAGUUGAGCCACAACUAAAAACAUACCAGGCCAAGGAAUCUAUUUGUCAUGAAACAACAGAUGUUAUCAAGUUUGAAUGUCCUGUAUACAAAAAAGACCCAAUCAAUAAUCAAUCAACUCUUUCAUUGAAAUGCUUACAAUUGCUUACAAAAAAAUGCAUUAAGAAUUUAUUGACCUAUCAAUGUUUAUCUUAGCGGAGAAUUACAAGGUAAAGGAAUUUUUUGGUUUAAGACUCCAGCGCUUCCUAUUGUGCAAGAAUCUUGAGCUAUAACUAAGUACGUAACAUUGGACUAAUAAACUAAAUUGCUUAAUCGUCCAUUUUCAAACGGACUAACGCUGAAAUGUCUAGAGAACGUCAGAUUUCAUUGCACUGUUUCAAGCAAAUGCUUUACUGUAAAGUCAAACCCUCAUAACUGUAGCAUGUGUCAACUUUCUAAUAUGUCACUGGCUUGAAUUGGUUUUGCAAAUUUUAGGGUAAGAAAACAAAUACAGCAAAUUUCAAUCAUCUUUGUUAUGAGCAUUUAUUAACUUUUACUCGAUAGAUAGUUGAGUUUAUCAUUCAUUUUGAUUAAUGAAUCUGUUAAGCAAACGUGCAAUUAGCAGCCGAUUUGAUAUUAACAAUAUACAAUAAAAGAAACAAAAAAAAACCUAAUCAACAUAUUA
Hydra vulgaris (swiftwater hydra) is the source of this 1465-nucleotide long non-coding RNA. RefSeq lists it as uncharacterized. The record is from RefSeq and is a predicted model, not a curated record. Lineage: Eukaryota; Metazoa; Cnidaria; Hydrozoa; Anthoathecata; Hydridae.